Molecule: ribosomal RNA, 1163 nt
Filed under: human gut metagenome
Description: bacterial LSU rRNA
Rfam family: Bacterial large subunit ribosomal RNA
Source: RNAcentral
GGGUGGCACAGACCAGGGGGUAGCGACUGUUUACCAAAAACACAGGUGCAUGCGAAGGCGAAAGCCGCUGUAUAUGCACUGACGCCUGCCCGGUGCCGGAAGGUUAAGAGGAUCCGUCAGUCCCUUCGGGGACGAAGCGGUGAAUUCAAGCCCCGGUAAACGGCGGUGGUAACUAUAACCAUCCUAAGGUAGCGAAAUUCCUUGUCGGGUAAGUUCCGACCUGCACGAAUGGCGUAAUGAUGGCCAGGCUGUCUCCACCCGAGACUCAGUGAAAUUGAACUCGCUGUGAAGAUGCAGUGUACCCGCGGCAAGACGGAAAGACCCCGUGAACCUUUACUAUAGCUUGACACUGAACAUUGAGCCUUGAUGUGUAGGAUAGGUGGGAGGCUUUGAAGUGUGGACGCCAGUCUGCAUGGAGCCGGCCUUGAAAUACCACCCUUUAAUGUUUGAUGUUCUAACGUUGGCCCCUGAUCGGGGUUGCGGACAGUGUCUGGUGGGUAGUUUGACUGGGGCGGUCUCCUCCUAAAGAGUAACGGAGGAGCACGAAGGUUGGCUAAUCCUGGUCGGACAUCAGGAGGUUAGUGCAAUGGCAUAAGCCAGCUUGACUGCGAGCGUGACGGCGCGAGCAGGUGCGAAAGCAGGUCAUAGUGAUCCGGUGGUUCUGAAUGGAAGGGCCAUCGCUCAACGGAUAAAAGGUACUCCGGGGAUAACAGGCUGAUACCGCCCAAGAGUUCAUAUCGACGGCGGUGUUUGGCACCUCGAUGUCGGCUCAUCACAUCCUGGGGCUGAAGUAGGUCCCAAGGGUAUGGCUGUUCGCCAUUUAAAGUGGUACGCGAGCUGGGUUUAGAACGUCGUGAGACAGUUCGGUCCCUAUCUGCCGUGGGCGCUGGAGAACUGAGGGGGGCUGCUCCUAGUACGAGAGGACCGGAGUGGACGCAUCACUGGUGUUCGGGUUGUCAUGCCAAUGGCACUGCCCGGUAGCUAAAUGCGGAAGAGAUAAGUGCUGAAAGCAUCUAAGCACGAAACUUGCCCCGAGAUGAGUUCUCCCUGAGACUUAGAGUCUCCUGAAGGAACGUUGAAGACGACGACGUUGAUAGGCCGGGUGUGUAAGCGCAGCGAUGCGUUGAGCUAACCGGUACUAAUGAACCGUGAGGCUUAACCUU